GGUGAUGUAGCUCAGUGGAAGAGCACUUGCCUAGGAUGCACAAGACCCUGGGUUCAAACCCCAGCACCACAA
Molecule: non-coding RNA, 72 nt
Organism: Sciurus carolinensis (gray squirrel)
Lineage: Eukaryota; Metazoa; Chordata; Mammalia; Rodentia; Sciuridae
Source: the annotation of a RefSeq genome assembly